This 274-nucleotide ribosomal RNA is filed under the name Foraminifera environmental sample. RNAcentral's name for it is "partial small subunit ribosomal RNA". It matches the Rfam family "Eukaryotic small subunit ribosomal RNA", at positions 1160 to 1343 of the family's 1831-position model. Lineage: Eukaryota; Foraminifera. The record is from RNAcentral.
AAGGGCACCACAAGAACGCGUGGAGCAUGUGGCUUAAUUUGACUCAACGCGGGAAAACUUACCGGGUCCGGACACACUGAGGAUUGACAGGCGAUAAAUUAUGCUAGUCCUUUCAUGAUUGUGUGAUAGGUGGUGCAUGGCUGUUCUUAGUUCGUGGAGUGAUCUGUCUGCUUAAUUGCGUUUCAAAUAAAAAGUGUCGAUCGCUCUGUGAGGUAUGUUGUCUACGGGCACAUAUCGCGCAGGCACGACACUAUGAAGGCAACGAACGUGACCG